UCUUAGUACCCGGAGGAAGAGAAAGAAAAUUCGAUUCCCUUAGUAGCGGCGAGCGAAACGGGAAGAGCCCAAACCAACAAGCUUGCUUGUUGGGGUUGUAGGACACUCUAUACGGAGUUACAAAGGACGACAUUAGACGAAUCAUCUGGAAAGAUGAAUCAAAGAAGGUAAUAAUCCUGUAGUCGAAAAUGUUGUCUCUCUUGAGUGGAUCCUGAGUACGACGGAGCACGUGAAAUUCCGUCGGAAUCUGGGAGGACCAUCUCCUAAGGCUAAAUACUCUCUAGUGACCGAUAGUGAACCAGUAC
RNAcentral lists this ribosomal RNA (305 nucleotides) under Staphylococcus aureus. RNAcentral's name for it is "bacterial LSU rRNA". It matches the Rfam family "Bacterial large subunit ribosomal RNA", at positions 201 to 501 of the family's 2925-position model. The record is from RNAcentral. Lineage: Bacteria; Bacillati; Bacillota; Bacilli; Caryophanales; Staphylococcaceae.